RNAcentral lists this ribosomal RNA (492 nucleotides) under uncultured bacterium. Its description in RNAcentral is "partial 16S ribosomal RNA". It matches the Rfam family "Bacterial small subunit ribosomal RNA", at positions 29 to 507 of the family's 1533-position model. The record is from RNAcentral.
AGUGAACGCUGGCGGUAGGCCUAACACAUGCAAGUCGAACGGCAGCACAGUAAGAGCUUGCUCUUACGGGUGGCGAGUGGCGGACGGGUGAGGAAUACAUCGGAAUCUACUUUUUCGUGGGGGAUAACGUAGGGAAACUUACGCUAAUACCGCAUACGACCUACGGGUGAAAGCAGGGGAUCUUCGGACCUUGCGCGAUUGAAUGAGCCGAUGUCGGAUUAGCUAGUUGGGGGGGUAAAGGCCCACCAAGGGGACGAUCCGUAGCUGGUCUGAGAGGAUGAUCAGCCACACUGGAACUGAGACACGGUCCAGACUCCUACGGGAGGCAGCAGUGGGGAAUAUUGGACAAUGGGCGCAAGCCUGAUCCAGCCAUACCGCGUGGGUGAAGAAGGCCUUCGGGUUGUAAAGCCCUUUUGUUGGGAAAGAAAAGCAGCAGGUUAAUACCCCGCUGUUCUGACGGUACCCAAAGAAUAAGCACCGGCUAACUUCGUG